RNAcentral lists this long non-coding RNA (300 nucleotides) under Nicotiana benthamiana. RNAcentral describes it as "long non-coding RNA (NBEN_LNC034016)". Lineage: Eukaryota; Viridiplantae; Streptophyta; Magnoliopsida; Solanales; Solanaceae. The record is from RNAcentral.
CGUUCUGUUUAAUAUGUUAGCUUUGGUUCCUUUGGGUUCUGAGCUGGAGAGGAUUAUGGGAUCUGUGCGCCUGUUAUACAUAGUUGUUCUGCUGGCCAUUAGCAGUGCCUUAUUCCAUCUUCUUAUAGCAUUGUUUGUUGCUCAUAAUCAUUGCUCUGUUGGCCAUUAGCAGUGCCUUAUUCCAUCUUCUUAUAGCAUUGUUGGUUGCUCAUAAUCCCUUUCAUCCUUCUCCAUACUUUAUGGACGAAUGUGCUAUAGGUUUCUCAGGCAUCUUAUUUUCAAUGAUUGUGAUUGAGACGA